AGUCAGGCCCCACCCUGGACAUGCCAGUUCCCUCCAGCUUCAAUGACAUCAGCCAGGACUGGCGUCUGCGGCAUUUUGUCGGCUGGGUGUGGUACGAACGGGAGGUGAUCCUGCCGGAGCGAUGGACCCAGGACCUGCACACAAGAGUGGUGCUGAGGAUUGGCAGUGCCCACUCCUAUGCCAUCGUGAUCCGAGGGAAGGGCUUCGACUGGCCGCUGCUGGUGAAGGACUUCAACCUGCUUCGCUGGCUUGGUGCCAACGCCUUCCGUACCAGCCACUACCCCUACGCGGAGGAAGUGCUGCAGAUGUGUGACCGCCAUGGGAUUGUGGUCAUCGAUGAGUGUCCCGGCGUGGGCCUGGCGCUGCCGCAGUUCUUCAACAACGUGUCUCUGCAUCACCACAUGCGGGUGAUGGAGGAAGUGGUGCGUAGGGACAAGAACCACCCCGCGGUU
This 452-nucleotide small RNA is filed under the name Pongo abelii (Sumatran orangutan). RNAcentral describes it as "processed transcript". The record is from RNAcentral. Lineage: Eukaryota; Metazoa; Chordata; Mammalia; Primates; Hominidae.